GCCUUCGGGUUCGCAUUGUAAUUUGUAGAGGAUGAUUUGGGGAAGCCGCCUGUCUAAGUUCCUUGGAACAGGACGUCAUAGAGGGUGAGAAUCCCGUAUGUGACAGGAAAUGGCACCCUAUGUAAAUCUCCUUCGACGAGUCGAGUUGUUUGGGAAUGCAGCUCUAAAUGGGAGGUAAAUUUCUUCUAAAGCUAAAUAUUGGCGAGAGACCGAUAGCGCACAAGUAGAGUGAUCGAAAGAUGAAAAGCACUUUGGAAAGAGAGUUAAAAAGCACGUGAAAUUGUUGAAAGGGAAGCGCUUGCAAUCAGACUUGUUUAAACUGUUCGGCCGGUCUUCUGACCGGUUUACUCAGUUUGGACAGGCCAGCAUCAGUUUCGGCGGCCGGAUAAAGGCUCUGGGAAUGUGGCCUCCACUUCGGUGGAGGUGUUAUAGCCCAGGGUGUAAUACGGCCAGCCGGGACUGAGGUCCGCGCUUCGGCUAGGAUGCUGGCGUAA
This 494-nucleotide ribosomal RNA is filed under the name Aureobasidium pullulans. RNAcentral's name for it is "eukaryotic LSU rRNA". It matches the Rfam family "Eukaryotic large subunit ribosomal RNA", at positions 128 to 634 of the family's 3401-position model. Lineage: Eukaryota; Fungi; Ascomycota; Dothideomycetes; Dothideales; Saccotheciaceae. The record is from RNAcentral.